RNAcentral lists this small nucleolar RNA (89 nucleotides) under Triticum aestivum (bread wheat). RNAcentral's name for it is "snoRNA snoZ159". It matches the Rfam family "Small nucleolar RNA Z159/U59". Rfam says of the family: This family consists of several snoRNA Z159 or U59 sequences which are members of the C/D class of snoRNA which contain the C (UGAUGA) and D (CUGA) box motifs. This family seems to be found exclusively in rice. C/D box small nucleolar RNAs are known to act as a methylation guides for 18S ribosomal RNA in plants. RNAcentral also lists the same sequence under 1 other name. Lineage: Eukaryota; Viridiplantae; Streptophyta; Magnoliopsida; Poales; Poaceae. The record is from Rfam by way of RNAcentral.
CUGUCCGAUGAUGAUGAAACCAAAUACUUUCGUUCUUCUGAUGAGAUGGCACGGUGCGGAAGCAGUUUUCAGACCUGAACUGAGGAAAU